AGAAUACUGGGCAUCAAGAGGAGCUUGUGUGCCCCUUAUCACCCACAAACCAAUGGCCUGGUGGAAAAAAAUUAACGGAACAGUGCAGAGGUCCAAUUUAUUAUUAUUAUUAUUAUUAUUAUUUUUAUUUAUGUUGUUGGAAACAAAGACAAAAUAAAUUGUUUUAACAAUAAAUGUUUUACACCCAAUUUGAAAGUAUGUGAAUUUGGGUAACAUUAAAGCCAUUCUGUGUGAAACAGUAAUGAUUGGGUUGACAGUAAUGAAUUGGAGUAAUUGAAUGAUUUUUUAAAAGAGCAUUUAUGCGGAGCCGAGGCUGUGCAGUCGGAAGGUGGACCUCUGAGACGCUUCCUCACCUAGUGCAAGCAGAUGGAAUGACAUGAGGUGUAUUUGCUCUGAAAUUUGCUGAAAAUGUCCUUAAUGAAAAGACAGCUGAUGGCAUUCACUUCCCAUCUAGUACCAAUGACCUGGAAAAAUACAGAAAGGAGAUAGCACUCACUCUCCUUGAAAAGACAGAUGAUCUGUCUGACCUGUGCCACUUCUGUGGCAUGAAAGAUGGCAACAAGCCUCAGAAGAAGGCGUCGCUCCAGACACGUUGCUCACCAUCAACUGGGUAAGGCGCAUCCUUAGUGAGUCAAUAGACGAGAAUGAGCAGAG
Myxocyprinus asiaticus (Chinese sucker) is the source of this 654-nucleotide long non-coding RNA. RefSeq lists it as uncharacterized. Lineage: Eukaryota; Metazoa; Chordata; Actinopteri; Cypriniformes; Catostomidae. The record is from RefSeq and is a predicted model, not a curated record. The transcript has 3 exons.